Oxyura jamaicensis (ruddy duck) is the source of this 465-nucleotide long non-coding RNA. RefSeq lists it as uncharacterized. The transcript has 3 exons. The record is from RefSeq and is a predicted model, not a curated record. Lineage: Eukaryota; Metazoa; Chordata; Aves; Anseriformes; Anatidae.
CUGAGUCAAUUAAAAGUAGAGAGUAGGAGAAUUUUUACUGAGAGAUGAAUGGAUGCAAUGUCUUUUGAAAGACAAAUUCUUUUUGUUCACAUCUCUACAUAUUGAUUUAGGAACUUAGCAUUGGCUACUGAAUUUAAAUUAGGAGCCAAAAUAUUCUGCUUUGCUUUUAUGAAUGCUGUUAAUGAAUUAAGCUUUCCAGUAUGCCCUCAAGAGGCUUGUUCAGCACUUUGCUGAUUGUAGGUGCAAUAAUUAAGCCAAAGGACAAGACCUGGAAAAACACCAUAGGCACUUCUAACUUAGGUGUGAGAAGGUGAAAACCUGGAUAUCUGUUCACCCCAUCCUACUGCUCUGCAUGUGGGGACUGGUUGCAUCUGGGAGAGGUAGGGUUGCGUGGGCUUGUUCCAGAAGCUGGUGAAGUGUUGAGCCACACUUAUUUAUUUUAGGAACAAACAAUUGCUUUUAAGG